This 449-nucleotide ribosomal RNA is filed under the name uncultured bacterium. RNAcentral's name for it is "bacterial SSU rRNA". It matches the Rfam family "Bacterial small subunit ribosomal RNA", at positions 29 to 524 of the family's 1533-position model. The record is from RNAcentral.
AACGAACGCUGGCGGCAGGCUUAACACAUGCAAGUCGAACGCCCCGCAAGGGGAGUGGCAGACGGGUGAGUAACACGUGGGAACGUGCCCUUCGCUUCGGGAUAGCCUCGGGAAACUGGGAGUAAUACCGAAUACGCCGUAUUGGGAAAGAUUUAUCGCCCAAGGAUGAGCCCGCGUAGGAUUAGCUAGUUGGUGAGGUAAAGGCUCACCAAGGCGACGAUCCUUAGCUGGUCUGAGAGGAUGAUCAGCCACACUGGGACUGAGACACGGCCCAGACUCCUACGGGAGGCAGCAGUGGGGAAUAUUGGACAAUGGGCGAAAGCCUGAUCCAGCAAUGCCGCGUGAGUGAUGAAGGCCUUAGGGUUGUAAAGCUCUUUUACCCGGGUAUGAUAAUGACAGUACCGGGAGGAAUAAGCUCCGGCUAACUCCGUGCCAGCAGCCGCGGUAAU